UUACUCCCACAAUGGGUUAAUACAACAGUUCUAUGGGGCAAUUAUGGAAGAUUUAGAAUAAGUAGCCCCAAGAAUUAAUAAAUAGAGUACUGGUGUUCUAUAGUGUACUCUUUAUGUACACUACUAUUUGGAUAUAAUAAAAAAAAUAAGAGUGGCUUUUUUAAUUUGUAUUAUAAAUAUCUUGCCUCAUUCUCUUUUAUGUUGUAACUUUUUCCAGUUUUGCUUUUCUUUUUCGUUUGUUCUGCAACUUGACAUACACAGAUCCGCCUGGUAGAAUGUUGAAG
RNAcentral lists this long non-coding RNA (284 nucleotides) under Nicotiana benthamiana. RNAcentral describes it as "long non-coding RNA (NBEN_LNC024910)". Lineage: Eukaryota; Viridiplantae; Streptophyta; Magnoliopsida; Solanales; Solanaceae. The record is from RNAcentral.